Molecule: long non-coding RNA, 409 nt
Organism: Exaiptasia diaphana
Lineage: Eukaryota; Metazoa; Cnidaria; Anthozoa; Actiniaria; Aiptasiidae
Exons: 3
Source: RefSeq, a predicted model, not a curated record
UUGACAAUUUUAUGCCAUUGUUUUCAGUGAUGGCGACGAUGUUUCACUUACUGCGGUUCAGAAUGGCUGAAUUAUCUAUGCUAUUAAAAUUCUUAUUCUCAUUACAGGAGGUGACGGAGGAGGUGGCGGAGGAGGAGUUUGCCAAGACAACAAUCAGUACUGCCCUUAUUGGAAAAGUUACUGCGGCUGGCAUGACUACGUCAUCGCAAACUGUAUGAUGACUUGCGGAAACUGCUAGUAAUUCACUAAUUUAAAAAGCAACCACGAAGUUUGACCGCGUAAAUUUCUUUGAACCUAGUAUAAAAUAUAAUAGAGUAAACUCUACUUUACAUUUGGUGUUUCAAUUUUGAAUAGUGAAACAAGCAAAAUGUAAUUGUUUGUGUUAUAAGUUAAUAAACUAUCAUUGUCU